UACGGGGGGGGCAAGCGUUGUUCGGAAUUACUGGGCGUAAAGGGCUCGUAGGCGGCCAACUAAGUCGGACGUGAAAUCCCCAGGCUCAGCCUGGGAACUGCGUCCGAUACUGGAUGGCUUGAAUUCGGGAGAGGGAUGCAGAAUUCCAGGUGUAGCGGUGAAAUGCGUAGAUAUCUGGAGGAAUACCGGUGGCGAAGGCGGCAUCCUGGACCGACAUUGACGCUGAGGCGCGAAAGCGUGGGGAGCAAACAGG
This 253-nucleotide ribosomal RNA is filed under the name uncultured bacterium. RNAcentral describes it as "partial 16S ribosomal RNA". It matches the Rfam family "Bacterial small subunit ribosomal RNA", at positions 524 to 776 of the family's 1533-position model. The record is from RNAcentral.